GGAUCAGAAUAAUUCUACUCUAACUCAUCAAGGAUUGUCGAUCCAGAAUAAUCCUAGUGAGCUCUCACAAUUCAUCAGUGACACCUAACAGUAUAUAGUGACAAUCCAGUAGAAUUAAAAUAAAUCUCUAGGUAUAGUUAAUGUGUGAUUCAAUCUCUCUAUCAUAAAUUUCGACGAGAUAGCAGGUCAUGGAUAAAUCGUCAAAUCUCAACAUCAGUUAUAUGAUAGAUUCGAUCAGCUCAAGUCUAAUUGUGAUUUCUAUAAAAAAAUUUUUCCAUCUAUCACACUACUAUGGCUAUAGAUUCUCGAACUUAGCCUCUCAAAUCUCAUA
Molecule: long non-coding RNA, 331 nt
Filed under: Elaeis guineensis (African oil palm)
Lineage: Eukaryota; Viridiplantae; Streptophyta; Magnoliopsida; Arecales; Arecaceae
Description: long non-coding RNA (EGUI_LNC079179)
Source: RNAcentral